GCCGAUGUCUUAAGUUGUCAUCAAACUCGUUGAAGAAAAAUAGAAUUAAAUAAAUGAACGUUAUUCAAGAAAACUAAUAAAUCUUUACCCACAAGUUAUGUUAAAUAAUAAAAUAAAAUUAUCAUCCGACUCACUGUGAAAAAGAAAGGAUUGGAGUUCAAUGUGGUAUCUGGAUUAUGGAUUGUCUCUUGUGUUCGGGGCACUAACUAAUUUUCUGGAUUGUCUACAGGAUUCUUCUUACGGGAAAUUGAACUGUUUGUUGUUCGGAAAUAGGGUCUUGGAUGAUCUCGAAGAAGUAUCAGUAGUUCUCGGAAUAGGUUGUAGGAUGAUUCUCUUUUUAUUUUAAUAUCACAUACAUUGGAGUACACGCCAAAUUUCAACAAUGAGUAAAGUUA
Onthophagus taurus is the source of this 395-nucleotide non-coding RNA. Lineage: Eukaryota; Metazoa; Arthropoda; Insecta; Coleoptera; Scarabaeidae. The record is from RefSeq and is a predicted model, not a curated record.